Molecule: ribosomal RNA, 252 nt
Filed under: uncultured bacterium
Lineage: Bacteria
Description: partial 16S ribosomal RNA
Rfam family: Bacterial small subunit ribosomal RNA
Source: RNAcentral
UACGGGGGGUGCGAGCGUUGUCCGGAUUCACUGGGCGUAAAGGGCGCGUAGGCGGCCCGGUCAGUCGGUCCUUUAAGAGCGGGGCUCACCCCCGUGGGGGGACCGGGACGGCCGGGCUGGGGCGCGGCAGAGGGGGACGGAAUGCCGGGUGUAGUGGUGAAAUGCGUAGAGAUCCGGCGGAACACCGGUGGCGCAGGCGGUCCCCUGGGCCGAGGCCGACGCUGAGGCGCGAGAGCGCGGGGAGCGAACCGG